CAGAGGGUGCGAGCGUUGUUCGGAAUUACUGGGCGUAAAGCGCGUGUAGGCUGUUCGGAAAGUCGGGUGUGAAAGCCCUGGGCUCAACCUAGGAAGUGCACUCGAAACUCCCGAACUGGAGUCCCGGAGAGGAAGGCGGAAUUCUCGGUGUAGAGGUGAAAUUCGUAGAUAUCGAGAGGAACAUCGGUGGCGAAGGCGGCCUUCUGGACGGUGACUGACGCUGAGACGCGAAAGCGUGGGGAGCAAACAGG
Molecule: ribosomal RNA, 251 nt
Filed under: uncultured bacterium
Lineage: Bacteria
Description: partial 16S ribosomal RNA
Rfam family: Bacterial small subunit ribosomal RNA
Source: RNAcentral